GCCCCGCUGGUGUACCUGGUAUAGCACGCCCUGGCUACGUGCACUUUCAGUUCCCAUGUUUACUAUCAGGGAGGAGCUCGUUCGAUUCGGGCGCGGGGCA
This is a non-coding RNA of Lyophyllum atratum, 100 nucleotides long. NCBI's taxonomy places the organism in Eukaryota, Fungi, Basidiomycota, Agaricomycetes, Agaricales, Lyophyllaceae. The record is from the annotation of a GenBank genome assembly.